CAAGUCGUACGAGGGUUUUUAACUCUAGUGGCGGACGGGUGAGUAACACGUGAGAAUUUGCCUUUAGGAGGGGGAUAACAAUCGGAAACGAAUGCUAAUACCCCAUAUGCUUUCGAGUGAAACGGAUUUAUCCGUCUAAAGAGAAGCUCGCGGCUGAUUAGCUUGUUGGUAAGGUAAGAGCUUACCAAGGCGACGAUCAGUAUCUGGUUUGAGAGGACGAUCAGACACACUGGAACUGAGACACGGUCCAGACUCCUACGGGAGGCAGCAGUGGGGAAUUUUCCGCAAUGGGCGAAAGCCUGACGGAGCAAUACCGCGUGAGGGAAGACUGCCUAUGGGUUGUAAACCUCUUUUUUCAGGGAGGAAUAAAAUGACGUGUACCUGAAGAAUAAGCAUCGGCUAACUCCGUGCCAGCAGCCGCGGUAAGACGGAGGAUGCAAGUGUUAUCCGGAAUCACUGGGCGUAAAACGUCUGUAGGUGGCUUAAUAAGUCAACUGUUAAAUCUUGAGGCUCAACCUCAAAAUCGCAGUCGAAACUAUUAGACUAGAGUAUAGUAGAGGUAAAGGGAAUUUCCAGUGGAGCGGUGAAAUGCGUAGAUAUUGGAAAGAACACCGAUGGCGAAAGCACUUUACUGGGCUAUUACUAACACUCAGAGACGAAAGCUAGGGUAGCAAAUGGGAUUAGAUACCCCAGUAGUCCUAGCCGUAAACUAUGGAUACUAGAUGUUGAACAGAUCGACCUGUGCAGUAUCAAAGCUAACGCGUUAAGUAUCCCGCCUGGGAAGUAUGCUCGCAAGAGUGAAACUCAAAGGAAUUGACGG
RNAcentral lists this ribosomal RNA (820 nucleotides) under uncultured bacterium. RNAcentral's name for it is "bacterial SSU rRNA". It matches the Rfam family "Bacterial small subunit ribosomal RNA", at positions 58 to 916 of the family's 1533-position model. The record is from RNAcentral.